UACGUAGGGUGCAAGCGUUGUUCGGAUUUAUUGGGCGUAAAGCGCGCGUAGGCGGCUUGGUACGUCGACUGUGAAAACCCGCGGCUUAACCGCGGGCUUGCAGUUGAUACGGGCAGGCUAGAGUUCGGUAGGGGAGACUGGAAUUCCUGGUGUAGCGGUGAAAUGCGCAGAUAUCAGGAGGAACACCGGUGGCGAAGGCGGGUCUCUGGGCCGAUACUGACGCUGAGGAGCGAAAGCGUGGGGAGCGAACAGG
This 253-nucleotide ribosomal RNA is filed under the name uncultured bacterium. RNAcentral's name for it is "partial 16S ribosomal RNA". It matches the Rfam family "Bacterial small subunit ribosomal RNA", at positions 524 to 776 of the family's 1533-position model. The record is from RNAcentral.